CAAAUCUUUCUCUUCUGGACA
Molecule: non-coding RNA, 21 nt
Filed under: Caenorhabditis elegans
Lineage: Eukaryota; Metazoa; Nematoda; Chromadorea; Rhabditida; Rhabditidae
Source: RNAcentral